This 496-nucleotide ribosomal RNA is filed under the name uncultured bacterium. RNAcentral describes it as "partial 16S ribosomal RNA". It matches the Rfam family "Bacterial small subunit ribosomal RNA", at positions 29 to 507 of the family's 1533-position model. The record is from RNAcentral.
AUGAACGCUGGCGGCGUGCCUAAUACAUGCAAGUCGAGCGAACAGACGAGGAGCUUGCUCCUUCGACGUUAGCGGCGGACGGGUGAGUAACACGUAGGUAACCUACCUAUAAGACUGGGAUAACUUCGGGAAACCGGAGCUAAUACCGGAUAAUAUUUCGAACCGCAUGGUUCGAUAGUGAAAGAUGGCUUUGCUAUCACUUAUAGAUGGACCUGCGCCGUAUUAGCUAGUUGGUAAGGUAACGGCUUACCAAGGCAACGAUACGUAGCCGGCCUGAGAGGGUGAUCGGCCACACUGGAACUGAGACACGGUCCAGACUCCUACGGGAGGCAGCAGUAGGGAAUCUUCCGCAAUGGGCGAAAGCCUGACGGAGCAACGCCGCGUGAGUGAUGAAGGUCUUCGGAUCGUAAAACUCUGUUAUUAGGGAAGAACAAACGUGUAAGUAACUGUGCACGUCUUGACGGUACCUAAUCAGAAAGCCACGGCUAACUACGUG